This is a long non-coding RNA of Clupea harengus (Atlantic herring), 927 nucleotides long. Lineage: Eukaryota; Metazoa; Chordata; Actinopteri; Clupeiformes; Clupeidae. The record is from Ensembl.
CAUUGGCGCUGGACACGGUAACUCCAGCCUGCGGAGGCGAGGUGUCAACUAAUGAUUUUUAUGUUAGAAAUAAUUAAUUGCAUCCAGGCAAUCUGUCGAGGAGAGGCAAAACAUCACCUUAAAUUGACAACAGUUUCCAUAACAACAAAAAAAUUACCCAUUUUCUUAAGACGGUUUGCGAUUUACGAUGUUACAACUGUUUUGACAUGACUUAAUAUGAAAACUAUAAGUGGCACCAUCUCUAGUUCUAAAGUUGUUGAAUAGCCGAGUUUGUUUAGUAAUAAUGGUAAUUGUGCAAGGGCUAGUCAAGCUUCAUAUAGAUGAUAACAGACAAAUCCGUUUCAGAGUAAGACAAAAAGGACACUUAAACAUGCAAAUGAUCCCCUUCCAGUCAGUGCCAUGCUCAAGGACAUAAAUGGAACCUGGGGAAGUCAGGCCUGCGCGUCUCCUGUUUGGGGCUUGGGACUUGGGUAACCUUCGGUGGGCAGAUUUCUGAUGAGGUGGCUGAGCAGCUGAUGACAAUAGCCUACGAGAACGGGGUCAAUCUCUUUGACACUGCUGAAGUGUACUCUGGAGGAAAGGCUGAAAUAAUCCUCGGAAACAUCAUCAAGAAAAAGUGCUGGAGGUACUUUAUCUUUGAUUCUCAUGUGUGCGUUUGUGUGGUUAGAGUGUAAGUCUGACUAUAUUUUUUGGGGAUAUUUUUUUUAUAUCUUUAGGGAUUUAUUUUCUUUUUACUGUGUGCAUGUGUGCUCUUGAAAUGUUAGCUGACGGAGACAGAAAUAAAAUGACUCCCUAGAACACCGUACUGAGAGCCUGUGCUUUGCCAACCCGUAGCUGAGUGAGUGAACUGCCACAGAGCUGAGCCACAGCUCUUGUAUUUUCCAUUUUGCCAAAUUUCACUGCCACAAGUAGUAGUCCUCCAUGUGG